This 291-nucleotide ribosomal RNA is filed under the name uncultured bacterium. Its description in RNAcentral is "partial 16S ribosomal RNA". It matches the Rfam family "Bacterial small subunit ribosomal RNA", at positions 775 to 1067 of the family's 1533-position model. The record is from RNAcentral.
GGAUUAGAUACCCUGGUAGUCCACGCCGUAAACGAUGAUCACUGGUUGUUUGCCGGCAUAGGUAAGCGACUGAGCGAAAGUGUUAAGUGAUCCACCUGGGGAGUACGUUGGCAACAAUGAAACUCAAAGGAAUUGACGGGGGCCCGCACAAGCGGAGGAACAUGUGGUUUAAUUCGAUGAUACGCGAGGAACCUUACCCGGGCUUAAAUGUAGAUUGCAUAAUACAGAGAUGUAUUUUUCUUUCACGAGACUAUCUACAAGGUGCUGCAUGGUUGUCGUCAGCUCGUGCCG